Molecule: small nuclear RNA, 106 nt
Organism: Eptesicus fuscus (big brown bat)
Lineage: Eukaryota; Metazoa; Chordata; Mammalia; Chiroptera; Vespertilionidae
Source: RefSeq, a predicted model, not a curated record
UCAGAAAUAGCCUCCUGAAAUUCCUAAAAUUGGAAUGAUACAGAGAAGAUUAGCAUGGUCUCUGCACAAGGAUGACAUGGAAAUUUGUGAAGUGUUCCAUAUUUUU